CUGCUAAGGAUGUGGCUGUUUCUCCCUGUCUGGUGGGGAGAGGCCAAGCACAUUAAUGCCAAUGCCCACAGCCUGUGGGUGCUUCCUGUCUUUUGUAAAUUGCAUUACUCACGAUUCUCUUUCCCUCGAUUUAUUAGAGGAAAGUCUCAGAAGGGUAAGGCCAACUGCUCCAGCUAUUUGCAGCUGUAAAUGACCCUCACAGGGACACAGCACUGUCCCACUCCCAGCCCAGUGGCCUGCAGCUAGCUGGAGCUGGUUACACUCUCACCUGGCUAGGUUGGGGGAAAGUGGGAGUUUUGCAGACCCACACUGCCACCCUGUCCAGCAGCCCCGGUCAUCUUUAAGAAACGCACCUCUUCUCUGAAACUCAAACAAUAAAACUUUCUGAAGACCUUUCAGCUUGCUUUGGCGACAAUGAACUCUCUUCUCUCCUGCAGGCGUGCCGGUAGCUUGGCCAGGGAGAAUGGACCGGCAACCUCUUUCUGCCCACUCCUCUGAUCCCCCUCUGCCUCCCUUAGACAAUCUGUCCUUCCCUGGAGAGGGCCGGUGUGCAGGGUUAAAGGUUCUCUGGUUAAAAUAGCCCAACAGAAGGAGCCGGGUCCGGAGCUGAAAUCUAAGUGCUAAUGACCGCUGCCCUUCACCCCGCUGCUCUCCGAGGCUGGACCCGAGGCCCAGUGAGGGACGAGACUGGACGGGGCACAAUGUUGCGCAUUUAACAUUUGAACUUCUCCCACCCGAGGCAGCAGGCCGUUUUGUCCUGGGGUCGCUGACCCCGGCUCCCCAUCAGCUGCCCUGAAACCUUAAUUGAAUGACAGAUGGUCAUUUUCAGGAGAGCCAGAAGCUGCGGGCGGCGGGCGGCAUGGCCAGGCUCGGCCAGGCGGUCCCCACUGGAGUGGGGUCGGGGCACGGGGUCGGGGCUGCGCGCUCCCGGGGGAGCGGAGUCCUGGUCCCCUAGCUGCCUCGGGGUCCAGAGCUCCAGGCAGCCUGGAGGUGGCCCCGCCUGCCCUAGAAGGAGGCGCAGGGGCCCCCAUCGCUCCUUUUCUGGGCCGGAGUCCAGCCUCCCCGGCCCUAGGCCCGGAUGCCAGCCCCGGGGCCCGGUGCGCUUGGCACGCCCGGCCUGCGGCCGCUGCUGCGCGGGGCCUGCGGCCCAGAGGUGGGCGCCCAGAGGCCCAGCCGCACUGCCUCCGCGCCGGCUCCUAUUUCUUUAAAAUCAAAGCUUCGGGCCUACAAUUGCUGGGAUUGCAGCGCGGUAUUGAUCCGCAGCCGGCAUCAGGGCCCGCGGCCUCGCUGCCCAGCCCCCGCGGCCGGCCUGCGAAGCCCAGAGGCUGGGUUUCGGCACCGUGCACGCCGCCGCUGGUACCCGGCCACCCCUCCGGCCAGCGCGCGUGGGCUCCAGGCCCAGCCGACUAGGCCCCAUCUUCACUGGUUUUUUUCCUUCCUUCUUUUUUAAUUAGUGCAGGAAAAUAUACAUGGAAGCAAAAAAAAAAAAUCCGCCUCCCCCGCAGGCGCGGCCUUCUAAUGCACAGGGCCUGACAUCGACUUCCGCGCACGGAUCGAACCUUCGAUCGCGCCGAUUUGCAUAGCGGGCCCGCGCCCCGCCGCGCCCGACUCCACGCCGAGACCGCGCAGGCGAGGCCGGGCGCUCCCGGGCUCUGCCUUCCUCCCUCGGUGCCCGGGGGACCGGGCUGCUCACGGCCGCAGACGUGUGCGCGGGCGAGCGCGGAACGCGGCGGGAGACGAUCUCCGCCGGCACCGCGAAAGGAGCCGAGGGCGCCCAGGGCCCCGCCGCGGACCGCGCGGAGGACAGGUACCACCUGCGCGGCGCCGCGGCCCGCUCCCCGCGGGCAGGGGUGGGCACCGCAGGGCGAGGACCCGGGCUGCGAACCGCGCUCCCGCUCCCGGCUCCUGCGCGAAACGGAGCACACUGACCCCGCUUCCCUCCCUCCUGGAGGCGCAUCCUGGACGCGACGCGCCCUCGGGGUAAGGGGCCUCCCGGGCUUGGGCGGCGGGGAGGGGCUCGCGGGGCUGAGGGUUCCGGGCUCGCGGGGCUGAGGGUUCCUCCCCCGCGCUACUCCCCGCUUCCGCCCCGCCCCGCGAGCCCCGACCGGUCCGUGAGCUCCGGGCCGCGCGGUGCGCGUGGGGCGUCCCGCUGGGCCUGGCGCGCGCCCGCGCCUCCGGCCCACCGAGCAGCCCGGGAUUGCCCCAGACGAGCUCGGCAGCGCUUCCCGUCCGGGACACGGCGUCUGAACCUGGCGCCUCUCCACAUCCAGCCCGACCCCAGGAAAGCCGAGCCCUCCCGGCCUGACCUUGCGCAACUGAAGGCCAACCCUGCGCGUCCCGCCGUCCCUCUGAACGGGGCGUUCCGGCGGCGGUGGCAGAAUUUCGGGUUUGCUUUGUUUCUCUAGUGAAGAGAACGCACUCUCCUACCCUCAAAGAGGCGUCCAGGCGUACUUCCCUGAGUGUUCGUGGCUGAUACUGGUUCCGAACCUGUCUGGCCCUGAGCCUUUUCGUUUCUCCUGUUUUAUGCAGAUCACUCGAGAUAAGUAAGAAAAUUAGGAAUUCGAUAGUUGGAAAGCAGACUGGGGAGGAAAAUUAAAUCCAACACCGACUGGAAAUAUGCUGGACAGAUGAAACGACAGUGACAGAAGACAGGAGAGUAAUUUACCUGAAAAAAAGAAAGAGAUUAGGCUCUGAAUUUUCCAGAUUGUAAUGACAAUACGAAAUAAAUCCAAAGAAAUUGCUUCCCUGACACUCUAUGUACAACCAAAGCAGAAGCCCUGCCACAGCAAAUUAUUGCUCAUUUGAUACCAAGAAUUCUAUUGACCACGGCUUUCGUUGGAGAGCGAAUUCUAACUACUGGCUGCUCUGUUGUCAGCUAGAGCUGAGGCUGGGAACCUUCCACAAGGCUGUGACGGCACACAGAGUCCUCUGCUCCAGGAAGUGCAGAGAUAACGCUGGUGUGUGUUGUCUGCCUGCACCCAAAGCGAUGGUGUUCCUGGAAUGCAAGCACCGCCCGCCAUGCUUGGAGCAUCCUGCCGCAGAGAGAACACUUUCUCCUGGUCUCAGCCCAGACUGACAGCCUGGGGGCCUCGUAGGACACUCGGCCAGAUGACACACACACAAGGGCACCCAGAACCUGUGUCGUGGGCUCCCGGGCAGCUGUGGAUCCAGGAGGCAGGCUGAGCAAGCCAGCAACACUCGCUGCCACUUGUCCAGAAAGCAAGAAAGCGGCAAUAUCCUCAGUGUUAUUUAAGGGAAAAAGACUGGGACCUGCACUGGAGUUUAAAAGUUAGGGGCGGGCUGCUCCCCAGCAUUUCUUUGGAAGGAGGCAGAACUGAGAGCUAUGCAGCUGGCUUGGCGCUUCAGCCCAUAGGAGAGGAGGAAAUUCUCCUCCUCCUCGCUGCACCUUGGAGCAGGUCCUCUGGCAGAGCUCUCGGCUCCCCAGCACCCCGUCAGCCUCCUGCCUCUCCUGCCAGGCCAAUGGAACCAGCAGAACUCGAUAGUAAAUUAUUUUGUUCAGCCCUCUGUCUUUUUAUGAAAAUAAAAGCCAACACUUUGUCAUUUUUAAUCACGUAAGCAGACAAUAAAUCCAAUUUCGAUAUUGAUUUUUUUUUCCAG
Heterocephalus glaber (naked mole-rat) is the source of this 3618-nucleotide long non-coding RNA. The record is from Ensembl. NCBI's taxonomy places the organism in Eukaryota, Metazoa, Chordata, Mammalia, Rodentia, Bathyergidae.